AGCCCGGGCCAGGGUGUGAGUGACUGCCUGGGUGGGCGGGUCCAUCUCGCUGUAGGAUCUGCAGAGCUUCAGCCACACAGCCUUUCCACCUGUGGCAGCUGCAGCCAAGACCCACUGAUUGAGCCCAACGAAAGAAGACCACUCUUCUGUGACCUCGGGGCUCCUUCAGGGGAAGGUCCUCCUCCACAGAACCCUCUCAUUCCAGAGCUUCCUGGAGCCAAGGAACAGAAUCCCACGGAGGGAAGCAAAGGCGUGGAUCGUUUAUCCUGGCCCCUGCCUUUGAACUCUACAAAGGCAGACCUCUGGAGCCCACCUGCCACGUGGGAGCAAGGACUAUGUAGCAGCGAAGACUAAACAAAUGAGUGAGGCAUGCCAGUCCAGAGCACAGGCCGGUCUCACGACCCCACCCAGCAUGGUGUCCCUGCAAGCUACCUCUUGGGUCCUCUCUGGGAGUCAGCUCACAUGCCUGGCAUGCCAGCCUCACUGUAUGUCUGUCCCAGUGAACAUGAUCACAUCUCUCCCAGAGUUCCAGUGUCUCCCU
Long non-coding RNA from Mus musculus (house mouse), 541 nucleotides. RefSeq annotates it as predicted gene, 57535. The transcript is spliced from 3 exons. Lineage: Eukaryota; Metazoa; Chordata; Mammalia; Rodentia; Muridae. The record is from RefSeq and is a predicted model, not a curated record.